UUUAACCUGAUUCUUCGGAUGAAGGUUUUUGUGACUGAGUGGCGGACGGGUGAGUAACGCGUGGGUAACCUGCCUCAUACAGGGGGAUAACAGUUAGAAAUGACUGCUAAUACCGCACAAGACCACGGAGCCACAUGGCUCAGUGGGAAAAACUCCGGUGGUAUGAGAUGGACCCGCGUCUGAUUAGGUAGUUGGUGGGGUAACGGCCUACCAAGCCAACGAUCAGUAGCCGACCUGAGAGGGUGACCGGCCACAUUGGGACUGAGACACGGCCCAAACUCCUACGGGAGGCAGCAGUGGGGAAUAUUGCACAAUGGGGGAAACCCUGAUGCAGCGACGCCGCGUGAGCGAAGAAGUAUUUCGGUAUGUAAAGCUCUAUCAGCAGGGAAGAAAAUGACGGUACCUGACUAAGAAGCACCGGCUAAAUACGUGCCAGCAGCCGCGGUAAUACGUAUGGUGCAAGCGUUAUCCGGAUUUACUGGGUGUAAAGGGAGCGUAGACGGCUGUGUAAGUCUGAAGUGAAAGCCCGGGGCUCAACCCCGGGACUGCUUUGGAAACUAUGCAGCUAGAGUGUCGGAGAGGUAAGUGGAAUUCCCAGUGUAGCGGUGAAAUGCGUAGAUAUUGGGAGGAACACCAGUGGCGAAGGCGGCUUACUGGACGAUGACUGACGUUGAGGCUCGAAAGCGUGGGGAGCAAACAGGAUUAGAUACCCUGGUAGUCCACGCCGUAAACGAUGACUACUAGGUGUCGGG
Molecule: ribosomal RNA, 752 nt
Filed under: uncultured bacterium
Lineage: Bacteria
Description: bacterial SSU rRNA
Rfam family: Bacterial small subunit ribosomal RNA
Source: RNAcentral